This is a long non-coding RNA of Meriones unguiculatus (Mongolian gerbil), 2041 nucleotides long. RefSeq lists it as uncharacterized. NCBI's taxonomy places the organism in Eukaryota, Metazoa, Chordata, Mammalia, Rodentia, Muridae. The transcript has 3 exons. The record is from RefSeq and is a predicted model, not a curated record.
CAAGGCCAAGAGCGGGCUUGAGGGUGGGAGCCCAAAGGUGACCGAUAGGGAAGAACAGGUGAGGAGGAAAAGCCUGGCCCCCAGGCUCCUCUUAGAAGGAUCAAGGACAAGUCAAGUCGUGGAGAAGGAUCCUAAGAGUUAAGCCUCUGCCGGAUGGAGCCGAGCACUGUUCUGGGCACUGGACCUACUCAGUUCCCGCCUGCAGAAGCCCUUCUGGGGAGGACUGUGUCCUCACUUUAGAUCCUAGGAGCAGAGAACUCAGCCCAUGGGAAAAGAAGAGACAAACAGACACCUGGAUGGAGAGCAGGCUCACACAGACAGUACUCCCUUGGGCUCAAAGGACAGCACGGAAGGGCAGUCAGGACAGAAGCUAUAAGUCAAGGAAGGGCAUUCUGGGCACACAGCAAACUGGCAGCGGCCCACGGCGAGCUAAAAUGGGCAGAUCAGCACCAUGGACAGGGCCAGCAUCUCCCUGGGUCCUCCUCCUGCCCCCACCUCUCAGGCCCUGGGCCUUUUUGGCAAGCACCAAACACUGCAGUAGCUGCCAGUGCCAAAUUUUGGCCUCUUCACCCCCCCCAACCCCCACUGCCUGACCCUUGGUGGCUCUGUUUGUGUCAUCGCUUUCUCUUCUCCCCGGACACGAGUUGAGGCCAGACACAUGGAUAACAGAAGGAGCUGGGAGGAGCGUGGCUUUGGACUCCGUGUCAUUCCUCCUCCUCCUCCUCCUCCUCCCGGGCCACGCUCCCCCACCAUCGCUUUCGGCUAAGCCGUGCUCAGCUGGGAUCCCUCAGUUCCCGCUUCUCCCAGCCUUCUUCAUUCCUAGUUUGUGGCGGUUGAGUUUUCUUCCUCCCAGGACACCAGGGAGGUCAUCCUGAGGUAAGCCAGUGCUUGGGGAUGGCUGACAGUGAGGGUCCCCCCCUGGGGAGGGAGGGGAGGAACCCAUGAGGGCCAAAGGAGGCCUGCACUCCUUCGGCACCCAGUCAGCCUGCAGCUCAUGCCUUCAGGCACUGGCCCCACAGUGACCCCAAGCUCCCUACCCCCCAGGCCACAGUCCCAGUUUCCCCUGAUUGUCACUACGAUCCUCUUCCUGAUGGCCCUAUUCUAGGCAUGUGCAAGUCUCACUGUCUACUUCUCUGUGCCCUGCCUCCCCCAAACCCUAGCCCUGAAAGCCACGGUCUUGCCCCUCGGCUCGUUCCCUGGGUAUCUUGUGGGACUGUUUGGUCACAGGCUGGCCUGCUUUAGAGGAUGGGAGGGCGCUAAAGGGAAGCAAGAAGACCAAGCUGAGUAGUAGACCAGAUGGCUGGGUUUCCAUGAGGUCUCCAGGGAAGGUGAGGUUCAAGGAGGGAAGGAAGCAGGGAGGUAAACCUACCCACUGCUACAGGGCCCAGGGAGGUGCUGGGGUCCCUUCCCCAUGAAGCCUGUAGGGGAGAGGGAGGCUGAACUCUCGGAGGGCAUGCCAUUUACCUGGCGGAGACAAUGACCGCGUCGGCCUCCUCCCAGCGCAGCUGGGGCAGCCUCUGGAGCGUGUUCUUGGACAGGAGGAAGAGUCCGGGGAACACCACCCCCCCAGCCACCAUUGGGCUCGGAGCAGCCGUCCCAGAACUCCGGAGGCUGAGGAAGAAGGAUCACAAGUUGGAGAACAUCGUGAGCUACACAGCAAGACCCUGUCUCAAAAUGAACAAAAACAGGUCUGGAAAGAUGGCCCAGUGACUUGGUGUCCUGACUGCUCUUGUAGAGGACGUGGGUUUGAUUCCCAGCACCCUCGGGGUUUCCCAACCCUCUGUAACUUCAGUUCCAGGGACGCGCUGCCCUCUUCUGGCCUCCUCGGGCACUGCAUGCACAUGCCGGCAAAACACCCAUACACACACACACACACACACACACACACACAAUUUUUUUUUUUUGAGACAGUCUUUCUGUGUAAUCUGGCUGUCUUGGAACUUGCUGUAUGGAUAAGGCUGGCCUCGAAAUUAUAGAGAUCUGCCUGCCUCUGCCUCCUAGUGCUGGGAGUAGAGAAUCUUAAAUAAAAUAAAAUAAAAUA